CUUUUAGAGUUUUGUUUUCCUGCUCAGGACGAACGCUGGCGGCGUGCCUAAUACAUGCAAGUCGAGCGCAGGAAGCUCACGGAACUCUUCGGAGGGAAGUGAAGGGAAUGAGCGGCGGACGGGUGAGUAACACGUAAGGAACCUGCCCCAAGGAUUGGGAUAACUCCGAGAAAUCGGAGCUAAUACCGAAUAGUUCUUCAGACCGCAUGGUCUGAUGAUGAAAGGCGCUUCGGCGUCACCUUGGGAUGGCCUUGCGGUGCAUUAGCUAGUUGGUGGGGUAACGGCUCACCAAGGCGACGAUGCAUAGCCGACCUGAGAGGGUGAUCGGCCACACUGGGACUGAGACACGGCCCAGACUCCUACGGGAGGCAGCAGUAGGGAAUCUUCCACAAUGGACGAAAGUCUGAUGGAGCAACGCCGCGUGAGUGAUGAAGGUUUUCGGAUCGUAAAACUCUGUUGUAAGGGAAGAACAAGUACGAGAGGUAAUGCUCGUACCUUGACGGUACCUUGCGAGAAAGCCACGGCUAACUACGUGCCAGCAGCCGCGGUAAUACGUAGGUGGCAAGCGUUGUCCGGAAUUAUUGGGCGUAAAGCGCGCGCAGGCGGCCUUUUAAGUCUGAUGUGAAAGCCCCCGGCUCAACCGGGGAGGGUCAUUGGAAACUGGAAGGCUUGAGUACAGAAGAGAAGAGUGGAAUUCCAUGUGUAGCGGUGAAAUGCGUAGAGAUGUGGAGGAACACCAGUGGCGAAGGCGACUCUUUGGUCUGUAACUGACGCUGAGGCGCGAAAGCGUGGGGAGCAAACAGGAUUAGAUACCCUGGUAGUCCACGCCGUAAACGAUGAGGCUAGGGAUGGGUCC
Molecule: ribosomal RNA, 856 nt
Filed under: Exiguobacterium artemiae
Lineage: Bacteria; Bacillati; Bacillota; Bacilli; Caryophanales
Description: bacterial SSU rRNA
Rfam family: Bacterial small subunit ribosomal RNA
Source: RNAcentral